RNAcentral lists this ribosomal RNA (376 nucleotides) under uncultured bacterium. Its description in RNAcentral is "bacterial SSU rRNA". It matches the Rfam family "Bacterial small subunit ribosomal RNA", at positions 521 to 896 of the family's 1533-position model. The record is from RNAcentral.
UAAUACAGAGGGUGCAAGCGUUAAUCGGAAUUACUGGGCGUAAAGCGUGCGUAGGCGGUCAUUUAAGUCGGGUGUGAAAUCCCCGGGCUCAACCUGGGAAUUGCAUUCGAUACUGGAUGGCUAGAGUUCGGCAGAGGGAAGUGGAAUUUCCGGUGUAGCGGUGAAAUGCGUAGAUAUCGGAAGGAACAUCAGUGGCGAAAGCGACUUCCUGGACCAGAACUGACGCUCAGGCACGAAAGCGUGGGGAGCAAACAGGAUUAGAUACCCUGGUAGUCCACGCCAUAAACGAUGAGGACUAGACGUUGGGAGGGUAAGCCUCACAGUGUCGCAGCUAACGCGUUAAGUCCUCCGCCUGGGGAGUACGGCCGCAAGGUUG